AGUUCUUCAGUGCUGUCUCUGUGAUCCAGGCUUUGAUCUGGGAAAGGUUGCGCCUCAUUGCAGAGUUGAAGCUAUCUCCCUGCUUUGUUUACAUGAACGCCCUUCCAGGACUCUGUCUGCUUUUGGGGUGGAAGUGCCCUGCCAAAAACUCUAGCUCUCCAUGCUGGCUGUGUGGCCAGCAUACCUCCUGCCUUUUCAACGAUUCCUCUGCCCUGAAUAGAGAGCGGUGUCUCAUAACAGUUUAGAAACUUCAAAAGUUUCCCUGGCAGGAUGAAUGAUUGACUAGGCAACAUGUUCUUGCCUUUUGGAGUCGCCCUCCAAUUUUUCCAGGCUUGAUUCUGUAAAUCAUUUCAUCUUGUAAAAACACUGGGCUGUGAGCACAGAUGAUCUCAAAGAUGAGGAAACAGAAGCUGGGAUAUGUGAGUAAAUAUUUCCAAGGUCCUGCAGCUAAUCAGUGGUUGACAACUUCUUUCCUCUGCCUAUGUUGCCAUCCAUGUCAUGGUUUAUGUCAAGACUCUAGGAGAAGUCUACCAUCAGCACCACAGCUACUGUGCACAAAUCCAGAAUGCCAGACUGAAGGCAGAAGGAAGGAGCACUUUUCCAACCAGCAGUGGGGCCCUUAGCAGGGGAGACUGGAAACAGAUCCUUUAUGCAUUGAAAGAAGAAAGUAGAACCGUUUCUGGGUCCCAGCUCUGGGAAGAGCUCCUGUUGCUGUGGAUUCUGACUUCUGGGUCUUGGCGCAGGGUGUGGCCAGCAAGCUAAGCUGUCCUGAGGGUGUGCUGGGCCAGGGGCUGAAGACAGUGUUGGAGCAUCCACAGACUGGUUUGUCUCAAGAAGCAUGUUACUAAAUAUGAAAUAGCAAAAUCUGCAAGUGGGUUUACUCUUCCCCCCAUAGAUUAGAAUGGAUUCAAUGUUAUCCCUUUAUUAGCUUCAUUUUAAUCACUUGCAUAGCAAGUAGGACAGAAAGGUGGCUUGAAAGUCAAUUAUGUGAGAAUUCCAGAUAAAUUGACUUUGCUCACAACAAUCUGUUAUUCAUGUGACUAUCAACUGUCAUGUGUGCUGGGGCAAAAAAAGAAGAUUAAGAUUCACUGGUCUCAGAUAGUUCUAGGAGGGGAAACCCAGGAUUGAACUUUUUCAGCCUUCUAUGAUAAAAUUUCCUGCUCUGUGGGUGCACCAAAGCUUUUAUCAGUUUCCUAAACUCCCAUAUUCAAGAAGAGAAGCUAUUUUCUCUUCUUUCUCAUCCUUCCUUGACAAAGCAAAACGUAUUUUCAUUGUCUACUCGGUGUCAUCCAUGCUUGGUUCCUGUCCUCAAAGAGCUUAUAGUUCAAAUAAAGGAGAGGGAGCAUUUUACAAGGAAAUUAAAGGUAAAAGAUUCUGAAAGCCAGUUAAAAAAGGUCGUGAGGGAGGGGUCUGGGAAAAGCUGAGUAGGGGUGAAAGGGUACGAAACAUUAUGGAAGGAGAACAGGGGAGCACCCUGACUACUGGGUGGAAACACCAAUCAGUGGGUAGAAACCACACAGCGGUAACACUGAUCAGUGGGUAGAAACCAAUGACAGCAGGUAUAUGAGGCAUGGAACACUUGGCUUAUUGUAAAGUUUUCAAAAUAUGUGGUCCUUUCUAUCCAGCAGGGGAUGGGAGUUGUCUUUGUAUAUCAACCAUGGAAGGGCUGUUUUGGUUCAUCAUUCUGUGGUCUACCUGAGUAGACCUGAUGCAGCUGUGUUUCUGAGGAAAGGAAGAACAGCUUUUGUUUUGUGAUAUUUAAUGGUAGAUGUAGUGCCAUGGAAUGACGCAGAUUUCAUUCAGAUAUUCUUGGAUCUUGGCCCCAGGACUCACUCAUUCUUCCCUAUGUGAGCAUUGGUAGUUACAGGUUUUACCCUUCCUUUAAUUGUAAGUCUUUUGAAGGCAAAAACUGUAUCCAAUUUGUCACUGUCUCCUAACAGUACUUAGCAGUUUGAUGCAUCAUAGGGAGUUUGUAAAUGCUUGGAUGAAUAAAGGGAAAACAAAAACAACAACAAACCUUUAUUUUGCUUUAAUAAAAAUAUUUUAACUAGUU
Nomascus leucogenys (northern white-cheeked gibbon) is the source of this 2053-nucleotide long non-coding RNA. RefSeq lists it as uncharacterized. Lineage: Eukaryota; Metazoa; Chordata; Mammalia; Primates; Hylobatidae. The transcript is spliced from 5 exons. The record is from RefSeq and is a predicted model, not a curated record.